RNAcentral lists this transfer RNA (103 nucleotides) under Violaceomyces palustris. Its description in RNAcentral is "tRNA-Thr". Lineage: Eukaryota; Fungi; Basidiomycota; Ustilaginomycetes; Violaceomycetales; Violaceomycetaceae. The record is from RNAcentral.
UCCCGCUUAACUCAGUGGCAGAGUGCGUCACUAGUAAGCAAUCAGGCUUCCAACACCCCAUGUUGUCAUGACGAAGUCAGUCGUUCAAAUCGGCUAGUGGGAA